Molecule: long non-coding RNA, 2009 nt
Organism: Bos taurus (domestic cattle)
Lineage: Eukaryota; Metazoa; Chordata; Mammalia; Artiodactyla; Bovidae
Source: Ensembl
AGGGACCCAUUGGGCCAAACAGCUCUGAGGGGGUGUGGGGGGUGAUAGGAGGAGGUGCUGGGCCCAGGACAGGAAAUGGGGAGCCAGGGAGGGGGUGGGGAGGGCUGACCUGCUUGCCAGGAAGCCCCUGGGCGCCUUAGGGCCCUUGGGAAUGGGGAGGGGAAGCAGCUGUCCCAAGACCCUCCCCAGGGGGGAGGGCUUUCCAACCCCAGAGGGGCCACUUCUCAGCUUUUUGACCUUGGACCUGGGACAUUCCUCCUCUGAGCCUCGGUUUCCCCACCCGUAACACGAGGAUGACAGAUGGGCAGUGGGUCAGAACGCUGGGGGCCUGGCCCUCUUGCCCAGGGACCUAGGCCUGGUGCCUCCUGCACGGCUGACCCCUGCUCCAGCCAGCGCGGGGCUCCUGGGCAGCUGGGAGGCCGGAUGGCUCGACCCCUGUUCGUGAGGCUGGGUGGAGAGGUGGCCGAGGACAGGGGACCUGCAUGAGCAGUCUUACUCUGCCUCUCCAUCAGGCUCGGAGGAUGUGCUGUCUACCCAUCCGAGCUCAGGCCCCCUUUCCCGGCCCGGGGCUCAGCCUGGGGCCCCCUGCAAAUGGAGUCAGUCCCAGAGGGCUCUAGCCGCCCCUUCCCCGUGGACCCUGGAGCCUUGGGCUGGCCUCCCUGAGUGGCUCUUUCCUGGGAAGAUCCCGGAGACAUAAUGGGUGAGCCAUUAACUGGGAGGAAGUCAUCCAUGGCAGUCCUGCUCGCGUCCCAAGGACAACCCAGAGAGGGAGGGAGGUGCUGACCAUCGCCGUGCUCCGGGGGGCUCACGCACCCACUCUGACACCGACACGCGAGGGCAGGUCCUCAAGGGGGACCUCGAGGAGUGGCAGCGUGGGCACCCAGGUGCCAGGGUGCCCACGGGCCUCCUGAGAGCAGCGAGUGGCGUGGCCACAGUGGCCCCAGGAGGCCCCCGCCCAGAAGCUUCUGGACAGAGUCCGUGCUGGCAGGAGGCUCCAUGGCAGGAGUGUGGGGGCGCAGCCGACAGCUGCUUCCUGCUCCCACUGUUGGGGUGUCGCUGCCCCUGUGAGAAGAACAGAUAUAGACGAGCCCCCAGCCUGGCCCUGCCCGCUGGGACCCCUCACCCCCAGCCCCGCGCUGUGUGAUCUCGGGCCGGUUCCCUUCUCUCUGUGGGCCUCGGGGUUUUACUCGAGGCUGCUUCGGGGAUGUAGCUGGUGCCCGCCCUCCCCCACUGCUCCCACCCCAUCCCACGAACCCUGGGCUGGCGAGGGGCUGGUACUUGCAGGUGUAAAGUGGCAGUGCCUGCCGGCCGCCUGCCUCCUCGACCUGAACCCUGGGGCCUGGCAUGGUCAGGGCAGCCCAGCUGACUUGGCCUGGGUGGCUGAACAAGACCCCGAGAAGAAUGGAUGGACGGAUGGACACAUGUGGACACAGGGACGUCCAGAGGAAGGAGAGCCUGCCUUCCUCCCCAGCGCCCACCCCCACUCAGGGGGACGUGGCUCUCAGGGAGACUCCCCAGCCGCUGCUGUCCCCGGGCUGGCCCCAGGGGCAGGGCGAGUCGAGCAGGAGCAUCCCGCCUCUGUCCGUGGGCCCGAGUGCAGCACCUCAGGGCCAGCUGGUGGUGCCAGGCCCUCUCGACGUCCACGAGCACCUCCUGGCUGAACCGCUGCCUGGGGACCCCAGCAGACAUGCUCCCCGAGUUCUCAGUGCCCUAAGAAGUGGCUGGAGACCCCGAGGCGGGCAGGACUUGCUUAGCGACCCACAGCCAGCUCUGGAAGGACGCAGCUGGGCUCUCCCAGCUCAGGACUGGGAGAUGACUGUGGCAUCGACGGCUGACCCCAGGUCAUCCAACAGUGGACCCGGACCAACAGCCGAAAACCCCCGCCAGGGAGCAGGGGCCAGUGAGCAGCCCCUCAUGUCCAGGGAAGGUGCAGGGUGGGGGCUUGCCCAAGCAAUCCUCCAGGCCCUUGGCCCCCGCCCCCUGGCCUCCUCGCUCCUGGGACAUAAGCC